This 253-nucleotide ribosomal RNA is filed under the name uncultured bacterium. RNAcentral describes it as "partial 16S ribosomal RNA". It matches the Rfam family "Bacterial small subunit ribosomal RNA", at positions 524 to 776 of the family's 1533-position model. The record is from RNAcentral.
UACGAAGGGGGCGAGCGUUGUUCGGAAUUACUGGGCGUAAAGGGCGCGCAGGCGGCUCAGACAGUCAGAUGUGAAAGCCCCGGGCUUAACCUGGGAACUGCAUUUGAUACUACUGAGCUUGAGUACGGGAGAGGAUAGUGGAAUCCCCAGUGUAGAGGUGAAAUUCGUAGAUAUUGGGAAGAACACCGGUGGCGAAGGCGGCUAUCUGGACCGUAACUGACGCUGAGGCGCGAAAGCGUGGGGAGCAAACAGG